Molecule: ribosomal RNA, 482 nt
Filed under: uncultured bacterium
Lineage: Bacteria
Description: partial 16S ribosomal RNA
Rfam family: Bacterial small subunit ribosomal RNA
Source: RNAcentral
AUUGAACGCUGGCGGCAUGCUUUACACAUGCAAGUCGAACGGUAACAGGCCGCAAGGUGCUGACGAGUGGCGCACGGGUGCGUAAUGCAUCGGAACGUGCCUAGUCGUGGGGGAUAACUACUCGAAAGAGUAGCUAAUACCGCAUACGAUCUAUGGAUGAAAGCGGGGGACCGUAAGGCCUCGCGCGAUUGGAGCGGCCGAUGUCAGAUUAGGUAGUUGGUGGGGUAAAGGCUCACCAAGCCAACGAUCUGUAGCUGGUCUGAGAGGACGACCAGCCACACUGGGACUGAGACACGGCCCAGACUCCUACGGGAGGCAGCAGUGGGGAAUUUUGGACAAAGGGCGCAAGCCUGAUCCAGCAAUGCCGCGUGCAGGAAGAAGGCCUUCGGGUUGUAAACUGCUUUUGUACGGAACGAAACGGCUCUGGUUAAUACCCGGGGCUAAUGACGGUACCGUAAGAAUAAGCACCAGCUAACUACGUG